UUGAGAUUUAGAAACAUGGGUGGUUUUGGUUUGUAAAGAAGACACGAUAAUAGCCCCUGAUCUCCCCCUCGGCCGAAUCGGUGCCAAGACUUGUUCUUUUCUUUGAAGUGCGACCAGCAGCGUGCAGUGCAACGCGAACAUCUCCAUUUUUCUCUCUGUACCGCCAGCGCAGAGGAAGGUGCACCCUUUUUCCCGGCUACAAAUAGCGUCGAGUGGUCGGUGUGCUGCUCUUGCUUACAUUUCUUGGCAUGCGUGCGUCGCCAAGAAUAAUGCUGCGUGUAAACGGAGCCGUUCGGUAUUUCGGUAUGUGGACAAGAGGAGUGUUCGUUCCUCCGGCUCUCUUUCUGCUUUCGUGGGCCGAACGUGAUCCGCAUCACUUCUUCAGAGCGACCUCUGCGCGCACAUCGAUAAAGAUCUCGCGGCCGAAAUUAAUUACACAGUCCCGAAGAGCAAACAAACCGCGUGAUUGGCCAAUUAUAAUUAAGAAGUAAAAAAAUUGAGGAAAACUGCCGGGUAAUUACAGAGAGAGGGAGACGAAAAGAGACGCAAAGGCCUUGAGAAAAACGGCAGGCGCAAUUAUUCAUUCAAUGGGCUUAAUAUUCAUCGCGCGGAUUUCCUAUUCAUUGAACUGAACAAUUGCAUCAGGCACCUACGGCAUUUUUGAUUAGCACACCCAGUGAGCUGCGCCGCCAAACAAUGAGCUGGCUUGUCGAGCGAAUCCUCCUGGCAGAAGCUUCAGAUGUGACUGAAAGGAAUAAAACGGUUUUAUUGCUCGCGAGAGCAGAACCGACGCCAGCAGUCCUGCAAUAAAUUGCACUCUUUCGAGUUGCUUGUUGAUGUCGGAGGACGGGAUGGGCCAGCAAGGUGUGCAGCAGCAGGUGACACGCGAGCACAACUGCCCUGGGCCUCAACAAGAGCGGCCGUUAAAAAAGGAAGACGAAUUUUUUCCUAGCAGGUGCUAGACCUUCGUGAGCGGCGAUUUCGAGACGGUUGGCUUUUGCCUCCUGAAUGAGAUGUGUUUGUUUUAUUACGUGAUGCCCAAACACAUCUGCCGCCCGUGCUGAUAUCACUCUCGAAAAACAGCUGGCGCGUUCCAGAAGUUUGCAAUUUGGCGCAAAUGAUAGUGAUUAGUCCGCUCAUUUUUGGAGCUGAAAGUGUAAGAAAAUCUCUCUUGGGUGUUUCGUUUUUGUGCAGUUUUUUUUUGCCUUUAGGAUGGGAAAAUAAAUGGCACAGUCGAUGGAGCAAAUUUUUAUGACCGGAUGACGGUCGUAAUUGUUUUUAUUUAUGUUGUUGGUCUGCUGCUGUGAAGGUAUUUAAAGCUUUCUUUGAAAUAAAAUACUAACAGCCAAGGCCACGACGUAAUUU
Long non-coding RNA from Neocloeon triangulifer, 1365 nucleotides. RefSeq lists it as uncharacterized. The transcript has 2 exons. NCBI's taxonomy places the organism in Eukaryota, Metazoa, Arthropoda, Insecta, Ephemeroptera, Baetidae. The record is from RefSeq and is a predicted model, not a curated record.